RNAcentral lists this long non-coding RNA (2083 nucleotides) under Anthonomus grandis grandis. RNAcentral describes it as "uncharacterized LOC126738847". The record is from RNAcentral. Lineage: Eukaryota; Metazoa; Arthropoda; Insecta; Coleoptera; Curculionidae.
UACGGCCAAAACGCGUUCUGGCCACUAACCUAUUACCAAAGUCCGAAAAAUCGCGUUCCGGCCGUUAAAUGUAGACCAGAACGCGUUCUGGUCCUUUUGAAAUUACCAGAAUGCGUUCUGGAUCUUUUCAAAUUACCAGAACGCGUUUUGGAUCUUUUAAAAUUUCCAGAAUGCGUAUUGACUUUUCGCAGUUAGCCUGAAAGCAAUCUGACUUUUGUCACAUUGCCAAAACGCGUCGAACACAUAAAAAAAUCGUUCAAAGGCCAGUGUAAUAUGGAAAAAUAUUUUUAUUGUUUAUACAUCGAUCGCGGCAAAUCGUCCUGGGAUACCCUGUAACACCCGUUAUGUUUUAUCUCAAAAUUAGUCGUGAUCUUCGGAUAAUAUAUGGAGGUUCAAACCUACAGAACAUAUCAAGAAUAUUAAAAAUUUCCGGAAUAAUUAGCGAAUUAAGAUUAACGUCAAAAAAAAUCUUUAAAUCAUUUAAAACAGUUUAUUUAUUGUUAAAUAAUUCACAAAUACUGUUUACUUUUUACCACAAAUUUUGCCAGUAGCCGCCUUACAUUUUUUUAAGGUUUUAAAAUUAUUCCUUGAAGCAUUACAUCCACCGAAUAUUGUUUUUUCACAUUUUCUUGAUUCGUCGUUCCAAUAAUAAAUUUCAAUGGCGAGUCCACAGUUUAUGUGGCCAACCGUAUGGAAUUUGUAGCAAUCUGAAAUAAAAAGAAAAAUUUAAGACUUGUAUUUAAUAAACAAAAUUAUAAAUCUAUAAUAAAAAAAUAUACGCAAGAACAGUUCAAAAGGUGGUCCUGUGGAUUCUGUAUGUAAUGUUAACGUUGCUUUAUAUUAUCUUUCGCUGUAUUUGCUAAUUUAGUCUAUAUAUUCAUUCGUUAUCAUGUAACAGCAUAAAAAUUGUUUUUUAAAACGUGCUUCGCACGAUAAGAAACAUAACUGGCGCAGUCGGGUAGGAUUGGAGCUUUUGUGAUCCUGUAUUCACGUCAUUGGGACGCCGUGAUCACUACAAUCGUGAGUUUUAACUCUUUAGCUCCAAACGAACGUCUCAGCUGUAAAUCAACCCUGAAGUGGUGUGCCACGGGAAGAAGAACAGUCGACACAUCAUUUGGGAAUCAAGGCACAGAGAAGAGGUGGCUGAUACGGAGAUUCACCUUGAGUAGGAAAAGGUUGGCAUCUCUCCGUCGAAGGACAUCGAUCGCGGCAAAUCGUCCUGGGAUACCCUGUAACACCCGUUAUGUUUUAUCUCAAAAUUAGUCGUGAUCUUCGGAUAAUAUAUGGAGGUUCAAACCUACAGAACAUAUCAAGAAUAUUAAAAAUUUCCGGAAUAAUUAGCGAAUUAAGAUUAACGUCAAAAAAAAUCUUUAAAUCAUUUAAAACAGUUUAUUUAUUGUUAAAUAAUUCACAAAUACUGUUUACUUUUUACCACAAAUUUUGCCAGUAGCCGCCUUACAUUUUUUUAAGGUUUUAAAAUUAUUCCUUGAAGCAUUACAUCCACCGAAUAUUGUUUUUUCACAUUUUCUUGAUUCGUCGUUCCAAUAAUAAAUUUCAAUGGCGAGUCCACAGUUUAUGUGGCCAACCGUAUGGAAUUUGUAGCAAUCUGAAAUAAAAAGAAAAAUUUAAGACUUGUAUUUAAUAAACAAAAUUAUAAAUCUAUAAUAAAAAAAUAUACGCAAGAACAGUUCAAAAGGUGGUCCUGUGGAUUCUGUAUGUAAUGUUAACGUUGCUUUAUAUUAUCUUUCGCUGUAUUUGCUAAUUUAGUCUAUAUAUUCAUUCGUUAUCAUGUAACAGCAUAAAAAUUGUUUUUUAAAACGUGCUUCGCACGAUAAGAAACAUAACUGGCGCAGUCGGGUAGGAUUGGAGCUUUUGUGAUCCUGUAUUCACGUCAUUGGGACGCCGUGAUCACUACAAUCGUGAGUUUUAACUCUUUAGCUCCAAACGAACGUCUCAGCUGUAAAUCAACCCUGAAGUGGUGUGCCACGGGAAGAAGAACAGUCGACACAUCAUUUGGGAAUCAAGGCACAGAGAAGAGGUGGCUGAUACGGAGAUUCACCUUGAGUAGGAAAAGGUUGGCAUC